RNAcentral lists this ribosomal RNA (385 nucleotides) under uncultured bacterium. RNAcentral describes it as "bacterial SSU rRNA". It matches the Rfam family "Bacterial small subunit ribosomal RNA", at positions 30 to 418 of the family's 1533-position model. The record is from RNAcentral.
AUUGAACGCUGGCGGCAUGCCUAACACAUGCAAGUCGAACGGUAACAGGCCUUCGGGCGCUGACGAGUGGCGGACGGGUGAGUAAUACGUAGGAAUCUGCCUUUUAGUGGGGGAUAACUCGGAGAAAUCCGGGCUAAUACCGCAUACGCACUACGGUGGAAAGCAGGGGAUCGCAAGACCUUGCGCUAAUAGAUGAGCCUACGUCGGAUUAGCUUGUUGGUAGGGUAAUGGCCUACCAAGGCGACGAUCGGUAGCUGGUCUGAGAGGACGGACAGCCACACGGGGACUGAGAUACGGCCCCGACUCCUACGGGAGGCAGCAGCUAGGAAUCUUGGGAAUGGGCGAAAGCCUGACCCAGCAACGCCGCGUGGGCGAUGAAGGCCUU